UUUAUUGCCCCCUUCUCAAGAUUAAAAUAUUAAAUCUUAUUCACACUAGUGUCUGAUGACAAUGCCUAAUAGUCAUGGAGUACUCAGUUAGCUUUCUACCUUUGAUUUAGUAAAUAUAAAAGAGGUAUUAAGACAAUGAUGAAUCCUGCUUAGGAUCUUUCUAUGUACCUUCUGUUAAAGUAUGUAUGUGUGUUUAUAUGUACCAGUGAAUACAAAUCAGAUCACUAAUACAUGAGGUAGAAAGGAGUUUAAAGCACAGAAUGUGAUUUAGAUUAGAUAAGGAAAGCUAAUUUUUAAAAUUCUGGCCUAGUAGAAGAAUGUACUGAGAAAGGUUGUGAGAAAAUUAUUUGACUGAAGAAUGUGGGACUUGAAGUUUCCCACUUAUGCUUAGCAACCAUUACUUUACCUAUCCAUCUCCCUCAGAAGGAAAAAAACAAAGUUAAAAGAAUAACAUUCUGUAGAUUUGCAAUAACAUUAAAAUUUCUUUGAAAAUAAUUUAUUGUUCUGGCUCUAUUUAGCCAAUGUAAAACCCUGGAGUCUUUAUAAACAAGACAUUCUUAUCAGCAUGAGAGGGUGAGUAAGUUUCAACUCUUGCCUGAAGUAAGAGCAAGCGACUGUGUAUAAGGUAGUUGUCGUUAAACAUAUUUAUCAUUCAUUCUCUAGCUUUUCCAUAAUUAACUUGAGGUGACUACUGCAAUUAUACAUAGAAUGUAGAAAAUUAUAAAGAAACAUGAGCAAGAGAAAACCCAAAUUUAAACAGAGGGUUAGGACCAGGGAACAAACUAGAAUGAAAGAUAUGCAGGCCACAGGUUCCUAUGCAAACACUAAAGCUGAGCUAAAAUUAGACUCAGAGCUUCAUGACAGCCAAAGUGAAAAGGGAAACACACCCAGUUACAUAAUGUACUUGUCUGUAAGGAAGACACAUCUGUUACUCAAGUGUAGCCAAAGAUUUCAUGACAGUUGGCUCUGAAAGAAAAUUCUCUCUUGGGAAUUUCCACAGGGGAC
Non-coding RNA from Ceratotherium simum simum (southern white rhinoceros), 1005 nucleotides. NCBI's taxonomy places the organism in Eukaryota, Metazoa, Chordata, Mammalia, Perissodactyla, Rhinocerotidae. The record is from RefSeq and is a predicted model, not a curated record.